This 520-nucleotide ribosomal RNA is filed under the name uncultured bacterium. RNAcentral describes it as "bacterial SSU rRNA". It matches the Rfam family "Bacterial small subunit ribosomal RNA", at positions 29 to 526 of the family's 1533-position model. The record is from RNAcentral.
AACGAACGCUGGCGGCGUGGAUAAGACAUGCAAGUCGGACGGGGCAAUCGUUGUAGCAAUACGGCGGUUGUUCAGUGGCGAACGGGUGCGUAACACGUGGGCAAUCUGCCAGGAAGUGGGGGAUAGCUCGCCGAAAGGCGAAUUAAUACCGCAUGUGGCCAGGGAGGACAUCCUCCUGACGCCAAAGCCGGGGUCAAACCUGGCGCUUCCUGAUGAGCCCGCGGCCUAUCAGCUAGUUGGUGGGGUCACGGCCCACCAAGGCGAUGACGGGUAGCUGGUCUGAGAGGACGACCAGCCACACUGGGACUGAGACACGGCCCAGACACCUACGGGUGGCAGCAGUCGAGAAUUUUUCUCAAUGGGGGAAACCCUGAAGGAGCGACGCCGCGUGGAGGAUGAAGGUCUUCGGAUUGUAAACUCCUGUCAUUAGAGAACAAGUGUCGGCAUUUAACUGGUGCCGGCUUGAUAGUAUCUGAAGAGGAAGAGACGGCUAACUCUGUGCCAGCCGCCGCGGUAAGAC